GACGAACGCUGGCGGCGUGCUUAACACAUGCAAGUCGAACGGAAAGGCCUGCUUUCCCUUGUGGAUUGCGGGUACUCGAGUGGCGAACGGGUGAGUAACACGUGAGUGAUCUGCCCCCAACUUGGGUAUAAGCCUGGGAAACUGGGUCUAAUUCCCGAUAGGACUGCAGGGUGGUGCCUGUGGUGGAAAACGAUUUUCUAGUGGUUGGGGAUGAGCUCGCGGCCUAUCAGCUUGUUGGUGGGGUAAUGGCCUACCAAGGCGGCGACGGGUAGCCGGCCUGAGAGGGUGGACGGGCACAGUGGGACUGAGAUACGGCCCAGACUCCUACGGGCGGCAGCAGUGGGGACUAUUGCACGAUGGGCGGAAGCCUGAUGCAGCGACGCCGCGUGGGGGAUGACGGCCUUCGGGUUGUAAACUCCUUUCGACCGCGAGGAAGCCACCUGGUUGGAAGGGUGGUGACGGUAGUGGUAGAAGAAGCCCCGGCUAACUACGUG
Molecule: ribosomal RNA, 494 nt
Filed under: uncultured bacterium
Lineage: Bacteria
Description: partial 16S ribosomal RNA
Rfam family: Bacterial small subunit ribosomal RNA
Source: RNAcentral